AGCGAACAGAUAAGGAGCUUGCUCCUUUGACGUUAGCGGCGGACGGGUGAGUAACACGUGGGUAACCUACCUAUAAGACUGGAAUAACUCCGGGAAACCGGGGCUAAUGCCGGAUAACAUGUUGAACCGCAUGGUUCUACAGUGAAAGACGGUCUUGCUGUCACUUAUAGAUGGACCCGCGCCGUAUUAGCUAGUUGGUGGGGUAACGGCCUACCAAGGCGACGAUACGUAGCCGACCUGAGAGGGUGAUCGGCCACACUGGAACUGAGACACGGUCCAGACUCCUACGGGAGGCAGCAGUAGGGAAUCUUCCGCAAUGGGCGAAAGCCUGACGGAGCAACGCCGCGUGAGUGAUGAAGGUCUUCGGAUCGUAAAGCUCUGUUGUUAGGGAAGAACAAAUGUGUAAGUAACUGUGCACAUCUUGACGGUACCUAACCAGAAAGCCACGGCUAACUACGUGCCAGCAGCCGCGGUAAUACGUAGGUGGCAAGCGUUAUCCGGAAUUAUUGGGCGUAAAGCGCGCGUAGGCGGUUUUUUAAGUCUGAUGUGAAAGCCCACGGCUCAACCGUGGAGGGUCAUUGGAAACUGGAAAACUUGAGUGCAGAAGAGGAAAGUGGAAUUCCAUGUGUAGCGGUGAAAUGCGCAGAGAUAUGGAGGAACACCAGUGGCGAAGGCGGCUUUCUGGUCUGCAACUGACGCUGAUGUGCGAAAGCGUGGGGAUCAAACAGGAUUAGAUACCCUGGUAGUCCACGCCGUAAACGAUGAGUGCUAAGUGUUAGGGGGUUUCCGCCCCUUAGUGCUGCAGCUAACGCAUUAAGCACUCCGCCUGGGGAGUACGGUCGCAAGACUGAAACUCAAAGGAAUUGACGGGGACCCGCACAAGCGGUGGAGCAUGUGGUUUAAUUCGAAGCAACGCGAAGAACCUUACCAAAUCUUGACAUCCUUUGACCGCUCUAGAGAUAGAGUUUUCCUCUUCGGAGGACAAAGUGACAGGUGGUGCAUGGUUGUCGUCAGCUCGUGUCGUGAGAUGUUGGGUUAAGUCC
This 1043-nucleotide ribosomal RNA is filed under the name Staphylococcus pseudintermedius. RNAcentral describes it as "bacterial SSU rRNA". It matches the Rfam family "Bacterial small subunit ribosomal RNA", at positions 65 to 1087 of the family's 1533-position model. Lineage: Bacteria; Bacillati; Bacillota; Bacilli; Caryophanales; Staphylococcaceae. The record is from RNAcentral.